RNAcentral lists this ribosomal RNA (274 nucleotides) under uncultured bacterium. Its description in RNAcentral is "partial 16S ribosomal RNA". It matches the Rfam family "Bacterial small subunit ribosomal RNA", at positions 523 to 796 of the family's 1533-position model. The record is from RNAcentral.
AUACGGAGGGAGCGAGCGUUAAUCGGAAUUACUGGGCGUAAAGCGCGCGUAGGCGGCUUUGUAAGUCGGAUGUGAAAGCCCAGGGCUCAACCCUGGAAUUGCAUUCGAUACUGCACGGCUAGAGUAUGGUAGAGGGAAGUGGAAUUUCCGGUGUAGCGGUGAAAUGCGUAGAUAUCGGAAGGAACACCAGUGGCGAAGGCGACUUCCUGGGCCAAUACUGACGCUGAGGUGCGAAAGCGUGGGGAGCAAACAGGAUUAGAUACCCGAGUAGUCC